AACUUUAAACAAUUAAAUGUUUGAGUAACAGUACUUGCUCUCAUUGUCAAGCAGUGUUUUAUUUCAACAAUUGCAUUGCACGAGUCUUUGUUUAUUUUAAGACUAUAAAUAUUUAUUUUGACAACUUAAUAACAUAACUUCGCUUUACUGCGAAUAAACACCAGAGAUUAUAAAUAUAAAUUGUUUUGAUCUCUUUUAAUCUCUUGAUGGUGACUGAAAAUUAUAGAAAUAAAAAAUAAAGUUUCCAGAGCACCUAUCAGCUCACAUUACUCCGGAAUGGAGAAAACAAUAAAUCAGUUAUGAGGAAAUGAAAGCUAUGCUCUAUGCCAGCCGUUGAAGAAGCGCCGUUUGCAGAAAGUGUGGAACCAGAGGUUAUUUCACGACAAUUUGCUUCCUUUGAUGAAGUUUUUUUUACGUUUUGUGAUCGUGAAUUAAAAAAAAAUUAACACAUUUU
Molecule: long non-coding RNA, 454 nt
Organism: Cotesia glomerata
Lineage: Eukaryota; Metazoa; Arthropoda; Insecta; Hymenoptera; Braconidae
Exons: 3
Source: RefSeq, a predicted model, not a curated record